UUGACCUCGGAUCAGGUAGGGAUACCCGCUGAACUUAAGCAUAUCAAUAAGCGGAGGAAAAGAAACCAACCGGGAUUGCCCUAGUAACGGCGAGUGAAGCGGCAAGAGCUCAAAUUUGAAAGCUGGCCCCUGCGGGGUCCGCAUUGUAAUUUGCAGAGGAUGCUUCGGGAGCGGUCCCCAUCUAAGUGCCCUGGAACGGGCCGUCAUAGAGGGUGAGAAUCCCGUAUGGGAUGGGGUGCCCGCGCCCGUGUGAAGCUCCUUCGACGAGUCGAGUUGUUUGGGAAUGCAGCUCUAAUUGGGUGGUAAAUUUCAUCUAAAGCUAAAUAUUGGCCGGAGACCGAUAGCGCACAAGUAGAGUGAUCGAAAGAUGAAAAGCACUUUGAAAAGAGAGUUAAACAGCACGUGAAAUUGUUGAAAGGGAAGCGCUUGCGAUCAGACUCGCUCCCGGGGUUCAGCCGGCAUUCGUGCCGGUGUACUUCCCCGGGGGCGGGCCAGCGUCGGUUUGGGCGGCCGGUCAAAGGCCCCUGGAAUGUAACGCCUCUCGGGGCGUCUUAUAGCCAGGGGUGCCAUGCGGCCUGCCCGGACCGAGGAACGCGCUUCGGCUCGGACGCUGGCAUAAUGGUCGUAAGCGACC
RNAcentral lists this ribosomal RNA (634 nucleotides) under Penicillium paxilli. Its description in RNAcentral is "eukaryotic LSU rRNA". It matches the Rfam family "Eukaryotic large subunit ribosomal RNA", at positions 1 to 649 of the family's 3401-position model. The record is from RNAcentral. Lineage: Eukaryota; Fungi; Ascomycota; Eurotiomycetes; Eurotiales; Aspergillaceae.